UGAUUGUAAGGUCUCUGUAUUUGAGGU
Molecule: small RNA, 27 nt
Filed under: Bombyx mori (domestic silkworm)
Lineage: Eukaryota; Metazoa; Arthropoda; Insecta; Lepidoptera; Bombycidae
Description: piRNA piR-bmo-2112794
Source: RNAcentral